Acyrthosiphon pisum (pea aphid) is the source of this 433-nucleotide long non-coding RNA. RefSeq lists it as uncharacterized. The transcript is spliced from 2 exons. The record is from RefSeq and is a predicted model, not a curated record. Lineage: Eukaryota; Metazoa; Arthropoda; Insecta; Hemiptera; Aphididae.
UAUUUAUUAAUAUGUCUAUGAUUAAUACUGAUAGAAUAUCUGAUAUCAAUUACCAUAACUGGUAGUUACAAUAAACCACGGUUUAAGAUCUACAACCGUGAUGGGUACCCCUGACAAAUAUCCAUUGAGUAAAUAAUAAUUAUAUAUAAAAAAAAAAUAUCUUUAAUCGUGGUCAUAGAUAAUAAUAAUAUCACAGAAUAAUCAAAGAAUUCUGCCGAAAGAUAAGCGAUAUCAGGACCAUUUAAAAUUUUGCCUUAAUAAUUUUAUAGUUUUAAAACCGGCCACCGGGAUCCUGCCUCACAUUCCAGGCGAAGAGUACGGAUAAGUUGUAUACUUGUAUACUGUAAAAAUAAAAUGUAUUUUGGACUUAAUUUUGGUAGACAAGCCAUUUUGAAAAAGGCCAAUGUGUGGAUACGAUGCAUGUGCAACGUUU